Molecule: long non-coding RNA, 323 nt
Filed under: Elaeis guineensis (African oil palm)
Lineage: Eukaryota; Viridiplantae; Streptophyta; Magnoliopsida; Arecales; Arecaceae
Description: long non-coding RNA (EGUI_LNC060239)
Source: RNAcentral
UAUGGUUAGGACUUCUAAUAUGAUUAGGAGGAGGGAUCCUAAUUUGAUUAGGACAUCCUUAAGUUGUCAUAUAAAGGACCCUAGCCUUUACUUCUCAUAUAAGCUCUCUUUCUCCCUUCUUGCCACCACCUUUCACUGGGCCCAUGCCUCCCCUUCUCUUCCUCUUUCUAGCCCUUGUCCCUUCUCUCUCUUGGCAUCCUCCCUUGGAGCCAAAAAGAGGGUGGGCGGCAUCAUAGGAAGUGGUACCAAUUGUUGAUGCCACUUGCACAUGGUUUGUGUUAGGAUUUGAUGCCUCGAGAUUCAGCCCACAUUGAGCCCACAAC